This 328-nucleotide ribosomal RNA is filed under the name uncultured eukaryote. RNAcentral's name for it is "partial 18S ribosomal RNA". It matches the Rfam family "Eukaryotic small subunit ribosomal RNA", at positions 1470 to 1796 of the family's 1831-position model. The record is from RNAcentral.
CCCUUAGAUGUUCUGGGCCGCACGCGCGCUACAAUGAUGAAUUCAACGAGUUUAUAACCUUGGUUGAAAAGCCUGGGUAAUCUUUUGAACUUUCGUCGUGAUGGGGCUAGACCCUUGCAAUUAUUGGUCUCCAACGAGGAAUUCCUAGUAAACGCAAGUCAUCAGCUUGCAUUGAUUACGUCCCUGCCCUUUGUACACACCGCCCGUCGCACCUACCGAUUGAAUGGUCCGGUGAAAUCUUGGGAUUUUGUUUUGUUUGCAUUUAUUUGUAUCGAGACGAGAGAACUUGAGUAAACCUUACCAUUUAGAGGAAGGUGAAGUCGUAACA